AGAAUAUAAAUUUUAGACUAAUGUGCAGUAACUUCAUUUGGCUACACCAGUUUGGCUACAAAGUCUCAGAAAUACAAUUCGUGAAAACGUGUGCAGUUUAUUACAGGAAAGAAUGAAAUUUGCUUGUGCUCUUUUGUUGUUGACAGUGGUUGCUCAUACAGCCUAUUCUCAGUAUUAUUCUGAACAUUCUCAGAUAAGAAAAAGUGGAAAAACUAGUUGUACUUCGAUGGAUUGCAUUCCUGUUUGCCGACCUCCAGCAACAUGUCAAUUUUGCCCUGAUGCGGCUGGUGGUAGUUGUGUGUGUAUGAUGCCAGGUACGGUGUGCUAACAUGGGAGAUGAACGAAGCUUCAUACAAGAUCAAAACGGUUGCAUGGGGUAGUUUUAACACAACGGGGUUGUUUUACUUGUAAAACAAUAUGUUUGUCUAUCAAUAAAGUAUAAGCUUCAAAAAA
This is a long non-coding RNA of Dendronephthya gigantea, 453 nucleotides long. RefSeq lists it as uncharacterized. The record is from RefSeq and is a predicted model, not a curated record. The transcript has 4 exons. NCBI's taxonomy places the organism in Eukaryota, Metazoa, Cnidaria, Anthozoa, Malacalcyonacea, Nephtheidae.